RNAcentral lists this ribosomal RNA (388 nucleotides) under uncultured bacterium. RNAcentral describes it as "bacterial SSU rRNA". It matches the Rfam family "Bacterial small subunit ribosomal RNA", at positions 29 to 420 of the family's 1533-position model. The record is from RNAcentral.
AUUGAACGCUGGCGGCAUGCUUUACACAUGCAAGUCGAACGGUAACAGGCCUUCGGGUGCUGACGAGUGGCGAACGGGUGAGUAAUGCAUCGGAACGUGCCCAAUCGUGGGGGAUAACGUAGCGAAAGUUACGCUAAUACCGCAUAAGCCCUGAGGGGGAAAGUGGGGGACCGCAAGGCCUCACGCGAAUGGAGCGGCCGAUGUCAGAUUAGCUAGUUGGUGGGGUAAAGGCCCACCAAGGCGACGAUCUGUAGCGGGUCUGAGAGGAUGAUCCGCCACACUGGGACUGAGACACGGCCCAGACUCCUACGGGAGGCAGCAGUGGGGAAUUUUGGACAAUGGGCGCAAGCCUGAUCCAGCCAUGCCGCGUGAGUGAAGAAGGCCUCGG